GAUGAACGCUAGCUACAGGCUUAACACAUGCAAGUCGAGGGGCAGCGGUAUCGAAAGCUUGCUUUCGGUAGCCGGCGACCGGCGCACGGGUGAGUAACGCGUAUCGAACCUGCCUCAUACUCGGGAAUAGCCUUGCGAAAGUAAGAUUAAUGCCCGGUGUUUUCAGAGUCCCGCAUGAGGCUUUGAACAAAGAUUCAUCGGUAUGCGAUGGCGCUGCGUCCCAUUAGGUGGUUGGCGGGGUAACGGCCAACCAAGGCAUCGAUGGGUAGGGGUUCUGAGAGGAAGGUCCCCCACAUUGGAACUGAGACACGGUCCAAACUCCUACGGGAGGCAGCAGUGAGGAAUAUUGGUCAAUGGGCGGAAGCCUGAACCAGCCAAGUAGCGUGCAGGAAGACGGCCCUCCGGGUUGUAAACUGCUUUUAGUUGGGAAUAAAACGGGGCUCGUGAGCCCCCUUGCAUGUACCAUCAGAAAAAGGACCGGCUAAUUCCGUGCCAGCAGCCGCGGUAA
RNAcentral lists this ribosomal RNA (508 nucleotides) under uncultured bacterium. RNAcentral describes it as "partial 16S ribosomal RNA". It matches the Rfam family "Bacterial small subunit ribosomal RNA", at positions 28 to 523 of the family's 1533-position model. The record is from RNAcentral.